UGGUUCUGGCAUCGAUGAAGAACGCAGCGAAAUGCGAUAAGUAAUGCGAAUUGCAGAAUUCAGUGAGUCAUCGAAUCUUUGAACGCACAUUGCGCCCUUUGGUAUUCCGAAGGGCAUGCCUGUUCGAGCGUCAUUAUCAACCCUCAAGCUCUGGCUUGUUGUUGGGUCUAAUAAGGGGGAGCCCCCCCUUAAACCCGAAAGACAAUGACGGCGUCUGAUGGAAGCCUGGUACAAUGAGUCUUUUUAGGCACGUACUGUGGUCGACCGUUGGACCCGGCCUUAUGAAUUUUUUUCUCAGGUUGACCUCGGAUCAGGUAGGAAUACCCGCUGA
This 331-nucleotide unclassified non-coding RNA is filed under the name uncultured fungus. RNAcentral's name for it is "partial contains 5.8S ribosomal RNA and internal transcribed spacer 2". The stretch from base 1 to 133 matches the Rfam family "5.8S ribosomal RNA", at positions 22 to 154 of the family's 154-position model. The record is from RNAcentral. Lineage: Eukaryota; Fungi.